UGGCAAUUACGCGCCGAGUGGCCAUAGA
Molecule: small RNA, 28 nt
Filed under: Bombyx mori (domestic silkworm)
Lineage: Eukaryota; Metazoa; Arthropoda; Insecta; Lepidoptera; Bombycidae
Description: ovarian small RNA-8743
Source: RNAcentral